GGAUCGCCGCCGGCUCCGCCGCCGCGCUCGAGAUCACCUGCCACGCCUGCAUGCAGCGCUUCCACCCUGCUUAACUGCCAUAGAUAGCAUGCCAUGCAUGUUCUCGAUCAUAGCUACCUUAACUAUUAUAUUAGCUGCUGCCAAGGACUUUGUUUAAGAGUGUUUUAUAUAUCCGUUAAUUCAGGGUCGAUCGCAUCGUCAUCAUCUGGUUGGUGAUUUCUGUGAAGAAAAGGGAAAGGACAGCAGGAGCUAGCAGAUCAGUGUUCUUCUCUCGCUUUUCUUGUAGAAUACUGCAUCGUCCGUUUCCAGCCUAAAAGGAGAGGGAAAGGGAAUCUAGCUGCCAGUUUAGCUUUAGCUAGUGGUGUGCAAUUUGGAUAAGCUGGCCUCACUGUUGCGUUAGUUGGCCAUCUUUGCGCAACACAUGCAUGCAAUUGCUUCAGGGAUCUAUGGCAAAGGAUUCAGAACGACUGUUAGUUUGUAAUUCAGUAAUUCUGUCUAAAUUUUAUAGGAAACAUUUAGAACAGAUAGGAAUUCUUCCUAUGUUUCCAAACGGACAUGAAAUCUUUCUUGGUUAGUUGCGGUAUCCAGUGGCAGUGUCAAGGCCAGGGUCCUGGACCACGCUUGAUCCAAAGCAUGAAAGCG
RNAcentral lists this long non-coding RNA (642 nucleotides) under Setaria italica (foxtail millet). Its description in RNAcentral is "long non-coding RNA (SITA_LNC000430)". Lineage: Eukaryota; Viridiplantae; Streptophyta; Magnoliopsida; Poales; Poaceae. The record is from RNAcentral.